UAAUAAAAGGGCUUGGGUCAGCUGUGAGUUGUGUGUAUAGAGAAUAUAAAUCUUGUCUCUCCCAAAAUACAGGUGUUGGUGUUGCUGCCUUAUAACUUUUAUGAAAAUUUUAGGGCUUUUUCUUGUAUAGCAUAAUCUAUGGGUUGGACAACCAACUGACAUCUAGUAAAUAACGCUGUAAAUAUCCCUUGUCUGAAUGCUGUCCUAGCUGUCCUAUCAGGCCUGUAAAAACUAAUGUCAUGUUGUAAACUAGACCAGAACAGUAACUUGGCCUCUGCAGAUAGGGCCAGAGGGAAAAAAAAAAAAAAGAGUAACCUGACAUCAGCAAAAUAUUUAAAAUUAACCAUAGCUUUGCAUCUGAACUGAUAGAACUAGUCUUAAUCACUUGGGUUAUGAAAACAGAAGAAUGGCAUUACCUCUAUUUUCAACCCAGAGAUGGACAAAUUUUUUGUAUCCUAAAGCUCCAUAUUGCCUGACUGUUCAAUGUAUUGUAUUAAGAACUGCAUAUUCAGUGGUGACACUCAGACUGCAUUCAAGCUACAUCAGCACAUUUAGUGAAAGUCUUUUAAGGUUUCUUCACUUGGUUGCUGAAAAGCUUGUUUGUAUCUCUAUGGAUUCUCCUCACAUUAUGCGGUUGGACCAGCAGCAAUAAGUAUAGCAAGAAUAUGUCUAUCAAGAACUGAGGAAUCAGCAGAAAAAGCAACAUCAAAAGACAGUUAUUCAUCAUAAUCAUCAUCAUUAGCAGAAAAAUAAGAUCCAGAAUGAAUUCCUACAGGACUCAUUUCAGCUAAAUAGCCAAUGUUUUGGAUAGGCAAUGUGUUGGUUUUAUAAGGCUUCCUGAUGUACUUAGAGGAAGCAAAAUGAAGCUGUUUCAGGGUAUUUAACUAGAAUAGGUGUUUUUUAUCCCUUUUUUAUCCCAAAAAGUCAUAGUUUCUCCAUGCAAAAAUGGUAUGUAUAAACUGGUAUUUUUAAUAUUUUUGUGUAAUAAACUCCUAGUUUAGGGAAUGGAACA
RNAcentral lists this long non-coding RNA (1012 nucleotides) under Anser brachyrhynchus (Pink-footed goose). RNAcentral describes it as "lncRNA (ENSABRG00000018343.1)". Lineage: Eukaryota; Metazoa; Chordata; Aves; Anseriformes; Anatidae. The record is from RNAcentral.